AGAGUUUGAUCCUGGCUCAGGAUGAACGCUGGCGGCGUGCUUAACACAUGCAAGUCGAACGAACCUUCGGGUUAGUGGCGGACGGGUGAGUAACGCGUGAGAAUCUGCCCUCAGGAGGGGGAUAACGGCUGGAAACGGCCGCUAAUACCCCAUAUGCCGAGAGGUGAAAUGAAUUUCGCCUGAGGAUGAGCUCGCGUCUGAUUAGCUAGUUGGUGGGGUAAGAGCCCACCAAGGCUUCGAUCAGUAGCUGGUCUGAGAGGAUGAUCAGCCACACUGGGACUGAGACACGGCCCAGACUCCUACGGGAGGCAGCAGUGGGGAAUUUUCCGCAAUGGGCGAAAGCCUGACGGAGCAACGCCGCGUGAGGGAUGAAGGCCUCUGGGCUGUAAACCUCUUUUAUCAAGGAAGAAGAUCUGAUGGUACUUGAUGAAUAAGCCACGGCUAAUUCCGUGCCAGCAGCCGCGGUAAUACGGGAGUGGCAAGCGUUAUCCGGAAUUAUUGGGCGUAAAGCGUCCGCAGGCGGCCUCGUAAGUCUGUCGUUAAAGCGUGGAGCUUAACUCCAUUUCGGCGAUGGAAACUGUGAGGCUUGAGUGUGGUAGGGGCAGAGGGAAUUCCCGGUGUAGCGGUGAAAUGCGUAGAUAUCGGGAAGAACACCAGUGGCGAAGGCGCUCUGCUGGGCCAUAACUGACGCUCAUGGACGAAAGCCAGGGGAGCGAAAGGGAUUAGAUACCCCUGUAGUCCUGGCCGUAAACGAUGAACACUAGGUGUCGGGGGAAUCGACCCCCUCGGUGUCGUAGCCAACGCGUUAAGUGUUCCGCCUGGGGAGUACGCACGCAAGUGUGAAACUCAAAGGAAUUGACGG
This 862-nucleotide ribosomal RNA is filed under the name uncultured cyanobacterium. RNAcentral's name for it is "bacterial SSU rRNA". It matches the Rfam family "Bacterial small subunit ribosomal RNA", at positions 8 to 916 of the family's 1533-position model. The record is from RNAcentral. Lineage: Bacteria; Bacillati; Cyanobacteriota.